Molecule: ribosomal RNA, 312 nt
Filed under: Mesodinium pulex
Lineage: Eukaryota; Ciliophora; Litostomatea; Cyclotrichida; Mesodiniidae
Description: partial Bacterial large subunit ribosomal RNA
Rfam family: Bacterial large subunit ribosomal RNA
Source: RNAcentral
GUAGCGACUGUUUAACAAAAACACAGGGCUUUGACAACAAAAAUAAAGCCUGACACCUGCUCAGUGCGAGAUUAUUACGCGGGGGCUUAGCGGCCCUCCCCAAAAGGUUUCGUAAACAGCGGCUGUAACCAUGACGGUCCAAAGGUAGCGAAAUUCCUUGUCGGGUAAGUUCCGACGUGCAUGAAUGGUGUCACGACUGCUCAGCUGUCUCUAUAAAAAUCUUGACGAACGAACAUUUCACGUGAAAAUGCGUGUCUAAGCUAGCAAGACGGAAAGACCCCGUGCAUCUUUACCGGAGCGCCGUACAGGGUU